Molecule: long non-coding RNA, 1230 nt
Filed under: Cricetulus griseus (Chinese hamster)
Lineage: Eukaryota; Metazoa; Chordata; Mammalia; Rodentia; Cricetidae
Description: lncRNA (ENSCGRG00015040432.1)
Source: RNAcentral
GUAAGCAGACAGUGUUUUAAUUAUGUUUUUUAUCUUUAGGAAAUUCAGGAUAUAAAUGUCCUGAUUCCAUGACUAAAAACAAUGUAGAAAAAAGAAAGAAGGGGAGGAAGGGAGGAAGAAAGGAAGGAAGGAAGGAAGGAAGGAAGGAAGGAAGGAAGGAAGGAAGGGGCAAGCAAAAAAUAAUUUAAAAAAAUCAACCUUGGCUGUAAUUUUGGAUUUGUCUGUGGCAGAAAGAGUUAAUGGGAUAGUGGUCUCAUAGAGAGGUCUAUUUUAGCUUAUUGCUAGGAGAAGCCCAUAUGGCUCAAAAAGAUGAUGCAACAUUUAGUAUAGGACAGCCCUGGCUGGGUCCUGGGGGCUGCCACUGAAAGAGUUAAAGCUAGUCUUAUUGCCAUGAAGCUCCCAAGGAAGAGGAGAGGCUGCAGGAAUAGAAACCUGUGUGUUCCAGAGCUUUUAGGUAUGAAAAAAGGAAAAAAAAAAGGCUGAAAAGUGUGGCCAAGAAAACAGAAUGUAGGUCCAACUUUUUUUUUCUCCCUUGUUUGACCAGCCUUGGCACUGCCCUCUGCCUCUCCAGGGGAAAAGCUGCAGUUCUGCUUCUGCAACACAAGGAGCAGACUGGAGAAUUUAGAUCUGCGUCACAGCUCAGAGCAGAGAGAGAGGGAGAGGGAGAAAGGCAGAGAGGGGGGAGAGGGAGGAAGGGAGGGAGGGAGAGAGAGAGAGAGAGAGAGAGAGAGAGAGAGAGAGAGAGAGAGAGAGAGAGAGAGAGAGAGAGAGAGCACGAACACACAAGCUGUCGAUAGGUCUGCUAGCAGCAGCCGUGCUGCAGCAGAGAAAGAAAUCAAGAAACAAGUCAUAACAACACUGGGCACCAGGUUCUGCCAAGUGUUCAGAAAUCUGUUUAGGGCCAGAGGCCUCUGGGUAGCCUAGGCUAAGAUGUCACGCAAGGUGGCAUGGGCGGUUCCCAUGUGGAGGAGGUGAGAUGGAGGUGGGCAGGCAGGAGUGGGUACAAGAGUUGGUGUGGUGGCAGAGGAAGACUUAAUCAGAGUGGAUUCUGGAACAUUCAGGACUGCGGCACCUUGUAUCUGGAUAGGAAUUUGGGUCUGCUCAGGAGACGACUGGUGGUCCAGUGGGGCUUAAGGACCUGAUGGCGUAACCUACUUCUUCUUCCCCCACGGAGGAGACUGGGGAGACUGGUUUGAAGAGGAUUGACUAAAUUGGAAGAAAAUAUUGUCC